This 164-nucleotide ribosomal RNA is filed under the name uncultured bacterium. RNAcentral describes it as "partial 16S rRNA". It matches the Rfam family "Bacterial small subunit ribosomal RNA", at positions 355 to 511 of the family's 1533-position model. The record is from RNAcentral.
UAGGGAAUCUUCCACAAUGGGCGCAAGCCUGAUGGAGCAACACCGCGUGAGUGAAGAAGGGUUUCGGCUCGUAAAGCUCUGUUGUUAAAGAAGAACACGUAUGAGAGUAACUGUUCAUACGUUGACGGUAUUUAACCAGAAAGUCACGGCUAACUACGCCCCAG